RNAcentral lists this transfer RNA (73 nucleotides) under Hymeniacidon perlevis. RNAcentral describes it as "tRNA-Ala". It matches the Rfam family "tRNA". Rfam says of the family: Transfer RNA (tRNA) molecules are approximately 80 nucleotides in length. Their secondary structure includes four short double-helical elements and three loops (D, anti-codon, and T loops). Lineage: Eukaryota; Metazoa; Porifera; Demospongiae; Suberitida; Halichondriidae. RNAcentral also lists the same sequence under 1 other name. The record is from RNAcentral.
GGGGUUUUAGCUCAACGGGUAGAGCGUAGGCUUUGCAAGUCUAAGGUUGCAGGUUCGAGACCAGUAAACUCCA